AUGGUGUUUAAGCUACUAGCGUGCUAGGGAAGCGAGGCAAUAAUAAGCUUCUAGGAGCCUGUGACCUUAGGACAGUGUCCACGUACCUGUUCCAGGGCCAUAAUUAUCUGUAGAUCUUGUACUGGCACCUGUAGUCAGUAAGAUUUACAGUUAGUCGUCUAGAAGUCUUAAAACAAUAUUUACUUUCGGUCUGUAAUAAUCAAGAAUUUGAGUUGUCGGAA
This 221-nucleotide long non-coding RNA is filed under the name Helianthus annuus (common sunflower). RNAcentral describes it as "hypothetical non coding rna". Lineage: Eukaryota; Viridiplantae; Streptophyta; Magnoliopsida; Asterales; Asteraceae. The record is from RNAcentral.